CCUACGGGUGGCAGCAGUAGGGAAUAUUGCUCAAUGGGGGAAACCCUGAAGCAGCAACGCCGCGUGGAGGAUGAAGGUUUUCGGCUUGUAAACUCCUUUUGUUAGAGAAGAUAGUGACGGUAUCUGACGAAUAAGCACCGGCUAACUCCGUGCCAGCAGCCGCGGUAAUACGGAGGGUGCAAGCGUUACUCGGAAUCACUGGGCGUAAAGCGAGCGUAGGCGGGAUAGCAAGUCAGAUGUGAAAUCCUAUGGCUUAACCAUAGAACUGCAUUUGAAACUGUGUUGCUAGAGUAUGGGAGAGGUAGGUGGAAUUCUUGGUGUAGGGGUAAAAUCCGUAGAGAUCAAGAGGAAUACUGAUGGCGAAGGCGACCUGCUAGAACAUAACUGACGCUGAUGCGCGAAAGCGUGGGGAGCAAACAGGAUUAGAUACCCCUGUAGUC
This 440-nucleotide ribosomal RNA is filed under the name uncultured bacterium. RNAcentral describes it as "partial 16S ribosomal RNA". It matches the Rfam family "Bacterial small subunit ribosomal RNA", at positions 338 to 795 of the family's 1533-position model. The record is from RNAcentral.